RNAcentral lists this ribosomal RNA (367 nucleotides) under uncultured organism. Its description in RNAcentral is "bacterial LSU rRNA". It matches the Rfam family "Bacterial large subunit ribosomal RNA", at positions 2099 to 2465 of the family's 2925-position model. The record is from RNAcentral.
CUUUACUGCAGCCUGGAAUUGUGUUCGGGCUUCGCUUGCGCAGGAUAGGUGGGAGGCACAGAAGUUCCCCUUGUGGGGGGAAUCGAGCCAACGGUGAGAUACCACUCUAGCGAGGCUAGAAUUCUAACUGAAAGCCGUUAUCCGGCUUUGGGACAGUUUCAGGCGGGCAGUUUGACUGGGGCGGUCGCCUCCUAAAUGGUAACGGAGGCGCGCAAAGGUUCCCUCAGGCUGGUUGGAAAUCAGCCACAGAGUGCAAAGGCAGAAGGGAGCUUGACUGCAAGACCUACAAGUCGAGCAGGGUGGAAACACGGUCUUAGUGAUCCGACGGUGCCGCAUGGAAGGGCCGUCGCUCAACGGAUAAAAGUUA